Long non-coding RNA from Sceloporus undulatus (fence lizard), 771 nucleotides. RefSeq lists it as uncharacterized. The transcript has 2 exons. The record is from RefSeq and is a predicted model, not a curated record. NCBI's taxonomy places the organism in Eukaryota, Metazoa, Chordata, Lepidosauria, Squamata, Phrynosomatidae.
UCCAAUGCCUUUUUCUGUAGAGUAGGGCAAAGUUAAUGGGAGGAGGAGGCAGGUAAGGACUGGGGGUAAUGUCUGAGGCCGUGAGUGUGGCACCCAAGGGGCCUUGGUAGAAACGGGAGGAAGCAACUGAGCAAGAUGUUAAGGCUAGGGGCUCAGGAGAAGCAGCCAGGGCACCCCUUUGUCACCCCACAGCUGUCCGCUGAACCUUUGUUUUUCUCCCCUUCUCUUUGUCCCUAUCCCUCGAGAGAGAGCUGCAUCCCAUCCAGGCGGAGAAGAAGACAAGGAAGGGUCCGGCCGAGGAGGAGGAAGACCCCGAGCAAUCAGCACCAGCCAUGGAUGAUGGAAGAGACAGUCUCCACUGGACUCGAUCCUUUACGUAAUUUCAGGUUUCCCAGUUGCAGAGGAUCCCUCUGAAGGCGCUUCCUUUCCGGUAGGGAUCUGGGUUCAGGGCAGACUUUAAGCAGGUAGGGCCUCGCUGAUUUCCAGGACGUCUUCCAGGUAGGUUUACUUCUUCAGAGGCCUUGCUGGCUGACUUUGGUGGCCCCUCUUCCUCCGGAGCCACCGCCCGGCUGCCUCCUGGUGCCCCUGGCUGCCGUUCCAGGGCCUGACUUCCCAGCCAUCGUUCAGGCUUUCCUUUUGGGUCCCAGCUGGGAAGGGCAGGGGACAAGUGGUGGUGCUGGUCUCAUUUGGUCUGCUGCUCAGAUACUAACACUCAUCCCUACUAACACUAACACAAAGACUAAAAAGCACCCCACCAUUAACACAAACUCU